Molecule: ribosomal RNA, 253 nt
Filed under: uncultured bacterium
Lineage: Bacteria
Description: partial 16S ribosomal RNA
Rfam family: Bacterial small subunit ribosomal RNA
Source: RNAcentral
UACGUAGGGUGCGAGCGUUAAUCGGAAUUACUGGGCGUAAAGUGUGCGCAGGCGGCCGAGCAAGUCGAGUGUGAAAGCCCCGAGCUUAACUUGGGAACUGCGCUCGAAACUACUUGGCUAGAGUGUGGCAGAGGGAGGUGGAAUUCCACGUGUAGCGGUGAAAUGCGUAGAGAUGUGGAGGAACACCGAUGGCGAAGGCAGCCUCCUGGGCCAACACUGACGCUCACGCACGAAAGCGUGGGGAGCAAACAGG